Molecule: ribosomal RNA, 470 nt
Filed under: uncultured bacterium
Lineage: Bacteria
Description: bacterial SSU rRNA
Rfam family: Bacterial small subunit ribosomal RNA
Source: RNAcentral
GACGAACGCUGGCGGCGUGCUUAACACAUGCAAGUCGAACGAGGUCCAGCCAAUCUUCGGAGAGGCGAAGACCUAGUGGCGAACGGGUGCGUAACACGUGAGAAACCUGCCCCAGACUUGGGAAUAACAGUCGGAAACGACUGCUAAUACCGAAUACCUUCGUAGCGUCGCAUGGCGCAUCGAAGAAAGCUUUUGCGGUUUGGGAGGGUCUCGCGGCCUAUCAGCUAGUUGGUGAGGUAACGGCUCACCAAGGCAUCGACGGGUAGCUGGUCUGAGAGGAUGAUCAGCCACACUGGGACUGAGACACGGCCCAGACUCCUACGGGAGGCAGCAGUGGGGAAUCUUGCACAAUGGGCGAAAGCCUGAUGCAGCAACGCCGCGUGCGGGACGAAGGCCUUAGGGUUGUAAACCGCUUUCAGCAGGGAAGAAAAUGACGGUACCUGCAGAAGAAGGUGCGGCCAACUACGUGC